GGUUGUGGCUCAGUGAUACAGUGCUGGCCUCAAAUGUGUGAGGCCCUGGGUUCAAUCCUCAGCACCA
This 67-nucleotide transfer RNA is filed under the name Marmota monax (woodchuck). RNAcentral's name for it is "tRNA.Leu". The record is from RNAcentral. Lineage: Eukaryota; Metazoa; Chordata; Mammalia; Rodentia; Sciuridae.